RNAcentral lists this ribosomal RNA (117 nucleotides) under Tepidimicrobium sp. The record is from RNAcentral. Lineage: Bacteria; Bacillati; Bacillota; Tissierellia; Tissierellales; Tepidimicrobiaceae.
UCUGGUGAUGAUUGCGAGAGGGACACACCUGUUACCAUAUCGAACACAGAAGUUAAGCCUCUCAGCGCCGAUGGUACUUGGGUGGAGAUGCCCUGGGAGAGUAGGACGUUGCCAGAU